CAUUUAUAAAGAAGAGGGGAGAGAACAGGCUCUGCGAACCUCUAGCAACUUUCUGGAAAGAAUAAGUGCUACAUCCUGCCCGAAAACAAUAUGGGUAUAUAAAAU
RNAcentral lists this non-coding RNA (105 nucleotides) under Chryseolinea serpens. RNAcentral describes it as "SAM-I sequence". It matches the Rfam family "SAM riboswitch aptamer (S box leader)". Rfam says of the family: The SAM riboswitch is found upstream of a number of genes which code for proteins involved in methionine or cysteine biosynthesis in Gram-positive bacteria. Lineage: Bacteria; Pseudomonadati; Bacteroidota; Cytophagia; Cytophagales; Fulvivirgaceae. The record is from Rfam by way of RNAcentral.